CACAAGCGGUGCACCAUAUGAUUUCAGUAGAAGCAUCGCCACGACCGUUUCCAAAUGUUGACUGCCUUUGACUUAUCUAGAGAUAUAGUUUUCGCUUCCGGGGGACAAAGUGCCAGGUGGUGCACGGUUGUUGUCACCUAGUGUCGUGAGAUGUUGGGUUAAGUCCCGCAACGAGCGCAACCCUUAAGCUUAGUUGCCAUCAUUAAGUUGGGCACUUUAAGUUGACUGCCGGUGACAAACCGGAGGAAGGUGGGGAUGACGUCAAAUCAUCAUGCCCCUUAUGAUUUGGGCUACACACGUGCUACAAUGGACAAUACAAAGGGCAGCUAAACCGCGAGGUCAAGCAAAUCCCAUAAAGUUGUUCUCAGUUCGGAUUGUAGUCUGCAACUCGACUACAUGAAGCUGGAAUCGCUAGUAAUCGUAGAUCAGCAUGCUACGGUGAAUACGUUCCCGGGUCUUGUACACACCGCCCGUCACACCACGAGAGUUUGUAACUAUAGAAGCCGGUGGAGUACCCA
This 518-nucleotide ribosomal RNA is filed under the name Staphylococcus pasteuri. Its description in RNAcentral is "bacterial SSU rRNA". It matches the Rfam family "Bacterial small subunit ribosomal RNA", at positions 924 to 1441 of the family's 1533-position model. Lineage: Bacteria; Bacillati; Bacillota; Bacilli; Caryophanales; Staphylococcaceae. The record is from RNAcentral.